CCAUGACUGUGUCUCCCUCUGAGGCAAUGUUUCCAAAUUCAGGGUCCCCAGAGGC
This 55-nucleotide small RNA is filed under the name Homo sapiens (human). Its description in RNAcentral is "SD1-55". The record is from RNAcentral. Lineage: Eukaryota; Metazoa; Chordata; Mammalia; Primates; Hominidae.